This 397-nucleotide ribosomal RNA is filed under the name uncultured bacterium. RNAcentral's name for it is "bacterial SSU rRNA". It matches the Rfam family "Bacterial small subunit ribosomal RNA", at positions 28 to 428 of the family's 1533-position model. The record is from RNAcentral.
GACGAACGCUGGCGGCGUGCUUAACACAUGCAAGUCGAGCGGUAAGGCCCUUUCGGGGGUACACGAGCGGCGAACGGGUGAGUAACACGUGGGUGACCUGCCUUUAGCUCUGGGAUAAGCCUGGGAAACUGGGUCUAAUACCGGAUAUGACCCUAUGGCGCAUGUUGUGGGGUGGAAAGCCUUGUGCGGCUAGGGAUGGGCCCGCGGCCUAUCAGCUUGUUGGUGGGGUGAUGGCCUACCAAGGCGACGACGGGUAGCCGGCCUGAGAGGGCGACCGGCCACACUGGGACUGAGACACGGCCCAGACUCCUACGGGAGGCAGCAGUGGGGAAUCUUGCGCAAUGGGCGAAAGCCUGACGCAGCGACGCCGCGUGAGGGAUGACGGCCUCGGUUGUAA